CAGCAGCCGCGGGAAAACGGAGGGUGCAAGCGUUAAUCGGAAUUACUGGGCGUAAAGCGCACGCAGGCGGUUUGUUAAGUCAGAUGUGAAAUCCCCGAGCUUAACUUGGGAACUGCAUUUGAAACUGGCAAGCUAGAGUCUUGUAGAGGGGGGUAGAAUUCCAGGUGUAGCGGUGAAAUGCGUAGAGAUCUGGAGGAAUACCGGUGGCGAAGGCGGCCCCCUGGACAAAGACUGACGCUCAGGUGCGAAAGCGUGGGGAGCAAACAGGAUUAGAUACCCCUGUAGUCCCUGUCUCUUAUAC
Molecule: ribosomal RNA, 301 nt
Filed under: uncultured bacterium
Lineage: Bacteria
Description: partial 16S ribosomal RNA
Rfam family: Bacterial small subunit ribosomal RNA
Source: RNAcentral